This 73-nucleotide transfer RNA is filed under the name Trachymyrmex septentrionalis. It matches the Rfam family "tRNA". From Rfam's summary of the family: Transfer RNA (tRNA) molecules are approximately 80 nucleotides in length. Their secondary structure includes four short double-helical elements and three loops (D, anti-codon, and T loops). The record is from Rfam by way of RNAcentral. Lineage: Eukaryota; Metazoa; Arthropoda; Insecta; Hymenoptera; Formicidae.
ACCUCGGUAGUCUAAAGGCUUAGGACGCUCGCACGGAAUGCAAGAGAUCCAGGUUCGACUCCCGGCCGACGCA